RNAcentral lists this transfer RNA (88 nucleotides) under Bacillota bacterium. Its description in RNAcentral is "Firmicutes bacterium (anaerobic digester metagenome) tRNA-Leu". It matches the Rfam family "tRNA". From Rfam's summary of the family: Transfer RNA (tRNA) molecules are approximately 80 nucleotides in length. Their secondary structure includes four short double-helical elements and three loops (D, anti-codon, and T loops). The record is from RNAcentral. Lineage: Bacteria; Bacillati; Bacillota.
GCCGAAGUGGCGGAAUAGGCAGACGCCCGCGACUCAAAAUCGCGUGGGGUAACCCCCCGUGAGGGUUCGACUCCCUCCUUCGGCACCA